GACGAACGCUGGCGGCGUGCUUAACACAUGCAAGUCGAACGGAAAGGCCCUGCUUUUGUGGGGUGCUCGAGUGGCGAACGGGUGAGUAACACGUGAGUAACCUGCCCUUGACUUUGGGAUAACUUCAGGAAACUGGGGCUAAUACCGGAUAGGAGCUCCUGCUGCAUGGUGGGGGUUGGAAAGUUUCGGCGGUUGGGGAUGGACUCGCGGCUUAUCAGCUUGUUGGUGGGGUAGUGGCUUACCAAGGCUUUGACGGGUAGCCGGCCUGAGAGGGUGACCGGCCACAUGGGGACUGAGAUACGCCCCAGACGCCUACGGGAGGCAGCAGUGGAGAGUAUGACACAAUGGGCGGAAGCCUGAUGCAGCAACGCCGCGUGCGGGAUGACGGCCUUCGGGUUGUAAACCGCUUUCGCCUGUGACGAAGCGUGAGUGACGGUAAUGGGUAAAGAAGCACCGGCUAACUACGUG
RNAcentral lists this ribosomal RNA (468 nucleotides) under uncultured bacterium. RNAcentral describes it as "partial 16S ribosomal RNA". It matches the Rfam family "Bacterial small subunit ribosomal RNA", at positions 28 to 507 of the family's 1533-position model. The record is from RNAcentral.